GCUGGUGAAGUGAUGAGUUUUCUCAUGUCUCUUCUCUGAACUUUUUAACUUUGGAGAGAAAUUAAUAUCUCUGAUCAUCAGA
Small nucleolar RNA from Polyodon spathula (Mississippi paddlefish), 82 nucleotides. RefSeq annotates it as small nucleolar RNA SNORD111. The record is from RefSeq and is a predicted model, not a curated record. Lineage: Eukaryota; Metazoa; Chordata; Actinopteri; Acipenseriformes; Polyodontidae. The transcript has a single exon.